AACGAACGCUGGCGGCGUGGAUAAGACAUGCAAGUCGAGCGGGACAAUCAGGGUAGCAAUAUUCUGGUUGUUCAGCGGCGCAAGGGUGCGUAACACGUGGGUAAUUUGCCAUGAAGUCUGGAAUAACAUGCUGAAAGGCGAGCUAAUGCCGGAUGUGACUUCCGAGGGGCAUCUCUUGGAAUUCAAAGCUGGAACCGUAAGGUCUGGCGCUUCUUGAUAAGCCCGCGGUCUAUCAGCUAGUUGGUGAGGUAACGGCUCACCAAGGCUAAGACGGAUAGCUGGUCUGAGAGGACGACCAGCCACACUGGAACUGAGACACGGUCCAGACACCUACGGGUGGCAGCAGUCGAGAAUUUUUCACAAUGGGCGAAAGCCUGAUGGAGCGACGCCGCGUGGGGGAUGAAUGGCUUCGGCCCGUAAACCCCUGUCAUUUGCGAACAAACCUUACCGGUUAAUACCCGGUCGAGCUGAUUGUAGCGGAAGAGGAAGGGACGG
Molecule: ribosomal RNA, 495 nt
Filed under: uncultured bacterium
Lineage: Bacteria
Description: bacterial SSU rRNA
Rfam family: Bacterial small subunit ribosomal RNA
Source: RNAcentral